RNAcentral lists this ribosomal RNA (3007 nucleotides) under Salmonella enterica subsp. enterica serovar Inverness. Its description in RNAcentral is "23S ribosomal RNA". It matches the Rfam family "Bacterial large subunit ribosomal RNA". The record is from RNAcentral. Lineage: Bacteria; Pseudomonadati; Pseudomonadota; Gammaproteobacteria; Enterobacterales; Enterobacteriaceae.
GGUUAAGCGACUAAGCGUACACGGUGGAUGCCCUGGCAGUCAGAGGCGAUGAAGGACGUGCUAAUCUGCGAUAAGCGCCGGUAAGGUGAUAUGAACCGUUAUAACCGGCGAUUUCCGAAUGGGGAAACCCAGUGUGAUUCGUCACACUAUCAUUAACUGAAUCCAUAGGUUAAUGAGGCGAACCGGGGGAACUGAAACAUCUAAGUACCCCGAGGAAAAGAAAUCAACCGAGAUUCCCCCAGUAGCGGCGAGCGAACGGGGAGGAGCCCAGAGCCUGAAUCAGCAUGUGUGUUAGUGGAAGCGUCUGGAAAGGCGCGCGAUACAGGGUGACAGCCCCGUACACAAAAGCGCAUGUGCUGUGAGCUCGAUGAGUAGGGCGGGACACGUGGUAUCCUGUCUGAAUAUGGGGGGACCAUCCUCCAAGGCUAAAUACUCCUGACUGACCGAUAGUGAACCAGUACCGUGAGGGAAAGGCGAAAAGAACCCCGGCGAGGGGAGUGAAAAAGAACCUGAAACCGUGUACGUACAAGCAGUGGGAGCCCCACCACUAAGCCAGUGGUGAACUCCACAUACGCAUCCUUUGCUGAGGAUACGGUUAACGGAGCGAAAGCGACGUUCAACCGCAAAAGAAGCAGAGGGGGCUUAGUGGUGGGGUGACUGCGUACCUUUUGUAUAAUGGGUCAGCGACUUAUAUUCUGUAGCAAGGUUAACCGAAUAGGGGAGCCGCAGGGAAACCGAGUCUUAAUUGGGCGUUAAGUUGCAGGGUAUAGACCCGAAACCCGGUGAUCUAGCCAUGGGCAGGUUGAAGGUUGGGUAACACUAACUGGAGGACCGAACCGACUAAUGUUGAAAAAUUAGCGGAUGACCUGUGGCUGGGGGUGAAAGGCCAAUCAAACCGGGAGAUAGCUGGUUCUCCCCGAAAGCUAUUUAGGUAGCGCCUCGUGAAUUCAUCUCCGGGGGUAGAGCACUGUUUCGGCUAGGGGGCCAUCCCGGCUUACCAACCCGAUGCAAACUGCGAAUACCGGAGAAUGUUAUCACGGGAGACACACGGCGGGUGCUAACGUCCGUCGUGAAGAGGGAAACAACCCAGACCGCCAGCUAAGGUCCCAAAGUCAUGGUUAAGUGGGAAACGAUGUGGGAAGGCCCAGACAGCCAGGAUGUUGGCUUAGAAGCAGCCAUCAUUUAAAGAAAGCGUAAUAGCUCACUGGUCGAGUCGGCCUGCGCGGAAGAUGUAACGGGGCUAAACCAUGCACCGAAGCUGCGGCAGCGACGCUGAUGCGUUGUUGGGUAGGGGAGCGUUCUGUAAGCCUGUGAAGGUGUGUCGUGAGGCAUGCUGGAGGUAUCAGAAGUGCGAAUGCUGACAUAAGUAACGAUAAAGCGGGUGAAAAGCCCGCUCGCCGGAAGACCAAGGGUUCCUGUCCAACGUUAAUCGGGGCAGGGUGAGUCGACCCCUAAGGCGAGGCCGAAAGGCGUAGUCGAUGGGAAACGGGUUAAUAUUCCCGUACUUGGUGUUACUGCGAAGGGGGGACGGAGAAGGCUAUGUUGGCCGGGCGACGGUUGUCCCGGUUUAAGCGUGUAGGUGUGUGUUCCAGGUAAAUCCGGUUCACUUUAACACUGAGGCGUGAUGACGAGGCACUACGGUGCUGAAGCAACAAAUGCCCUGCUUCCAGGAAAAGCCUCUAAGCAUCAGGUAACAUCAAAUCGUACCCCAAACCGACACAGGUGGUCAGGUAGAGAAUACCAAGGCGCUUGAGAGAACUCGGGUGAAGGAACUAGGCAAAAUGGUGCCGUAACUUCGGGAGAAGGCACGCUGACACGUAGGUGAAGUGAUUUACUCAUGGAGCUGAAGUCAGUCGAAGAUACCAGCUGGCUGCAACUGUUUAUUAAAAACACAGCACUGUGCAAACACGAAAGUGGACGUAUACGGUGUGACGCCUGCCCGGUGCCGGAAGGUUAAUUGAUGGGGUCAGCGCAAGCGAAGCUCCUGAUCGAAGCCCCGGUAAACGGCGGCCGUAACUAUAACGGUCCUAAGGUAGCGAAAUUCCUUGUCGGGUAAGUUCCGACCUGCACGAAUGGCGUAAUGAUGGCCAGGCUGUCUCCACCCGAGACUCAGUGAAAUUGAACUCGCUGUGAAGAUGCAGUGUACCCGCGGCAAGACGGAAAGACCCCGUGAACCUUUACUAUAGCUUGACACUGAACAUUGAGCCUUGAUGUGUAGGAUAGGUGGGAGGCUUUGAAGUGUGGACGCCAGUCUGCAUGGAGCCGACCUUGAAAUACCACCCUUUAAUGUUUGAUGUUCUAACGUGGACCCGUAAUCCGGGUUGCGGACAGUGUCUGGUGGGUAGUUUGACUGGGGCGGUCUCCUCCUAAAGAGUAACGGAGGAGCACGAAGGUUGGCUAAUCCUGGUCGGACAUCAGGAGGUUAGUGCAAUGGCAUAAGCCAGCUUGACUGCGAGCGUGACGGCGCGAGCAGGUGCGAAAGCAGGUCAUAGUGAUCCGGUGGUUCUGAAUGGAAGGGCCAUCGCUCAACGGAUAAAAGGUACUCCGGGGAUAACAGGCUGAUACCGCCCAAGAGUUCAUAUCGACGGCGGUGUUUGGCACCUCGAUGUCGGCUCAUCACAUCCUGGGGCUGAAGUAGGUCCCAAGGGUAUGGCUGUUCGCCAUUUAAAGUGGUACGCGAGCUGGGUUUAGAACGUCGUGAGACAGUUCGGUCCCUAUCUGCCGUGGGCGCUGGAGAACUGAGGGGGGCUGCUCCUAGUACGAGAGGACCGGAGUGGACGCAUCACUGGUGUUCGGGUUGUCAUGCCAAUGGCACUGCCCGGUAGCUAAAUGCGGAAGAGAUAAGUGCUGAAAGCAUCUAAGCACGAAACUUGCCCCGAGAUGAGUUCUCCCUGAGACUUAGAGUCUCCUGAAGGAACGUUGAAGACGACGACGUUGAUAGGCCGGGUGUGUAAGCGCAGCGAUGCGUUGAGCUAACCGGUACUAAUGAACCGUGAGGCUUAACCUU